Molecule: long non-coding RNA, 3156 nt
Organism: Antechinus flavipes (yellow-footed antechinus)
Lineage: Eukaryota; Metazoa; Chordata; Mammalia; Dasyuromorphia; Dasyuridae
Exons: 4
Source: RefSeq, a predicted model, not a curated record
GCCUGUAAGGUCAUUGCUCUGAACUUGGUUCUAGAAGUCCCUGAAUUUGGCUUUGGUCCAAACUUGGCCUAGCAUUACUAGGAUUUUUCUAGUACCAACUGGCAUGCUUUUUUUUUUAAGUUUUUUUCUUCUUCUGGUGCCCCUGGCCAGAUCCCAGAGGUUUCCCUUCCAUGUCAGAAGCUCUGAAGCUGCUGCUCCUGCUGGAAUCUGAGGACUUGACAUGGCCAUCCCUGAUUUUCUCAGUAAUUCUCUUUCCAUGUUCCUGAGACUUGGCAAGUGGUAUGCAUGGAAUUUGCAGACAGACCAUCUUUCUCAGUCUUCUUGGAGUUAAUACCUAGAACUGCAGAAUGAUGCAGCUCUAUGACGGCAUGAUAAAUGUGGAAAUAUGUUUAGAAGAACUGCACAUGUCUAACCUAUUACCUGCUCUCUAGGAGUGGAAUGAGGGAAAAAAAUUUGGAACACAAGGUUUUGCAAAGAGGCUUUGAAAUCCAGGGACAGAUCAAAGUCAAGACAACUGGUGAUUUGGGAAUGCAGUGGAUAACCUUGGUGUCUGCAAUACCUGACCAAGCUCUAAGCACUCCAUAGCACUUGCUUCAGCUGCUUCCAUUGUUCUGAUCCACCCAUUCUUCUGGAGAAAUUUUUCAUAAGCUUGGGGUAGACAUCGUCCAACUCAUUGACAGCCUACUGGCUACCAAAACUUAGUUUAGUCCAGCUGCUAAAAUGGUUUACUGGGGUAUGGCUACUAGGCAUGCUACAGCUUCUUGGAGCCACAGGUAAAAGUUGGGUAUCAAGAAGACCUCAAAGAUAGAUGAGCAGCCUAAAAGCGACUCAACAAGCCCUUAUACCAGAGGUGCUAGUCUUCCUUGAAUAUCCUAUCUAUUUGGUGGACUGUCUACCAUAUUAAGGUCACUGUCAUGAAGAUCCAGGUUUGAUUUCCAUUUCAGAAACUUAUUAAAUGUGUAUUAAAUGGGGGCAAUUCACUUAACCCUUCUGAGGGUUAACUUUCUCAUUAUUAAAAGAAAGAGACUAUAUUUAUUUCUAUCAAGGCUUAGUUACUGUGUAGUUAAUUUUGGUAAAUUAUUUUUCCAUUUCCUUUCUUAUUCUUUGUUACAGGAAAAGACUUUCUGGGUAGAGAGGGAAAGAGGAACAUUGAGAACUGAAAGUGACAUUAAAACAAAAUUAAACAAUUUUUAAAAUAAAAUAGUAGCCAAAAUGGCCUUCUCUAACUGGGUUUGUACAUGAAUGGAUUCCCAAAAAUAUGGGACAAGAUGUUUUUUCUCUCUAAAGAAUGAAACAAAUACAAAACUGUUUCCAGUUCAAUUCAAGAAAAACUCAUUCUACUUUUCAGAUAAGUCACUGUGCUAAUCUGCCUCUUUGAAAAAUACACAGACCUAGAUAGAUUCCCUAAUCUAACAGUGAUAAUUUGACUUUUAAGCAUUGUAAUUUUUAUAAACAUAAUAUUUAUUGCUAAGAAUUCUCAAUGGUGCACAGAGCUAAAGUUUUUCUUGGUUUCCUAGAUAAUUCUCAUAUAUUUAAUCAGUAAAAUGCAUGGGAGAAUACAUCAUUCACCCAAAAGAUAUAAGCUCUAUCAUACUUCUUUCCCUGUGCCAAUAGAAAUUAGCAACUUAAGUAGGACACUUUGGCCAUUUACAAAUUAGCUGAAACUGCUGUGUUGAAAGAGUUCAAUUUUACUGUUACAAGAAUUAUAAUGGGUAGAAUUUGUAAAGAAUAAAGUUGAUGCUUUAUUAAAAAAAAAAAAAGAAAUCUUCCUAUGGUUUGGAAUUAUUCAAAAGUGAAAUUGACUUUUGAGAGAUGGUAAAUUCACUUUCACUUGAAUUUUUUUUGUGCAAAAAUCUGGCUGACCAAUCUUUGGGUAGGGAGGGCAGUGAGAAAUUGUCACAAGAGAACCUUGUUUAACUAUGACUUGGACUAGAGGUUCUCUGGUGUCUCUUCCCACUCUAAGAUUCUGUAAUUCUGCUCCAUAGUUUUAAGUUUAAACUUAUAGAUUAUAUAUUCUUUAAAAUUAAUGUCAAGUUCAGCUUUAGCACAGAGUUAGGACAUCAUGUUGGAAAGUGGCUAUCAAGUCUGUUGCAUUGGUUUCUUAUGCUUAACCAUGGUUUUUUGUUACAAGGAAGGGUUCUGCAAGGGUAGGAGAUCACUGAGAAGUGAUGUGAGAGAGUGCCCUAAUGAGGCUUAAGCAAAGGUCUAGAAGGCAAAAAUACAGAGACAUUGAAACUGCAGAGACCCUAAUCCUGGAGGUGACAAACAGAGCUGAGGUCCUGAGAGAGGUAAAAGGAAGAAGUUCCUGUAAAUCCUAAACUAAGUGCCCCAGAUCAAAGAAUCCUCUAACAUUCCAAAUUAAGAAAGCACAAUACCACCAAGAAGCUGAAGGUAGAAAAGGAGAAAGGAAUAAGCAUUUAUACGGAGGCUAUAAGUGCCAGGAAAUGAGUUAAGCACUUUACAAAUAUUAUUUCAUUUGAUCCUCACAACCAUCCAUAGGAGGUAGGUGCUAUUGUUAUCUUCAGUUUACCGUUGAGGAAACUGAGGCAAAAAGAGGUUAAGUCAUUUGCCUAGAGUUCUAGAGCUACUAUUUCAGAUUGGAUUUGAACUAGGUCUUUCUUGACUUCAGGCUCCUCAUUCUAUCUACUGUACCAUAUAGCUAUCCUUCAAGGAAAAGAUGGCAGUUGACCAUCAAAGAGUGAGUGCAAGAAAUAUACAUGAUUGACAUACUGAACAGAGAUGUCACAAUUUGAAAAGUACCAGGAGUCAAGCCAUCCACUCUCCAGUGGCAGAUCAGACUGCUCCGCAUCAGCCAUCAGAAGAACAAUCUGAGUAGCCCAAUCUAGCAGUCAGAUUCAAUUGUUUGCAGAGAUUCUUUGAGAAAAGAAGGCAAAAAAGAGAAGAAAAGACACACAGAGACAGAAACAGAGUUGGGGAGAGAAAGAGAAAAAGAGAGAGAGACAGAGAAAGAGACAGAGAGACAGAAACAGAGAGAUGAUGGUAAUGUGUGUGUACUUUUGAAUGGGACUCUGGAGCUCCAGAACUGAAGACAUAUAAGGAAAAUUUGGGCUUCUACAUGAUGACAUCUUUCUCCCUCACUUUUGGUUUAAGCUACUCUUUUUCUCAUUGUUUACUCUAUUUUAUUCAGUAUAACUU